RNAcentral lists this small RNA (837 nucleotides) under Pongo abelii (Sumatran orangutan). RNAcentral describes it as "processed transcript". Lineage: Eukaryota; Metazoa; Chordata; Mammalia; Primates; Hominidae. The record is from RNAcentral.
UCAGCCUCAAUUAGACCAACAAGCGCUCAUUCGACAUAUAUGUCUUCGAAGACUUUCAAAGCCUGCUGAGCGAUGGCAUAAAGAAACCACUUACCGAAGAGACUAUUCUCUGCCGUUUUGUGAGAUUGAUUGGAACCAGAAAUUAGCCACAGUUUCGCUGAAUCCUCGACCACUUAAUUCACUGCCAGAGCUCUACUGUUGUGAAGAGAGAAGCGGCUUUGAAAGAAAUGCUUUUAAACUAAAAUAACCAUGGCAUUCGAACAAAAUAACGUUUGGCAUUCUUAGGUGACUCUUUUAGACUAAGUUAAUGGCAGCAGAACUACUUUCAAUUUAAGUGUGUAUACAGAUGGCUAUAAUCCUAAAAUAUUUACAUGUUGCAAAUUUUUUGCAGAUUAAGUUGGUCAGCUUAGAACAGGGAAUCAAGAUCUAUCCUUAAGAGAACUUGAAUUUUAGCCCCACUCCCAGUCUUAUUGCUGAUGCUGGCAAGCUAUCUUACAUUUAGCCCAAUGUAUACGCAAGAUCAGGUAAGAUCAUUGCGUCUGCACAAUAAUUGCAUCACUGUUGGGAAAAAUAAAAAAAAGAAGCUGGGGGACAUGGCCAAUUAGGAAGAAAACUGGCACUGGAGACCCUCAGGGGGCUCUGGAUGGAGAAACCCAGGUGUAGCCUGGGGCUGUAGCGAGAUGUGGGACUAAUAAAAAGGAUUAACUGAGAGUCUGUGUACAGGAGUUAGCACCCCUAUCUUGGCAAGAAGAAAGCCUGACAACUAGGCAUCAGCCCCUCAGGCAGAAAGCUAAAGGGUCUUCUCUAAGGAGAGGAAAGAACACCAAAGAAAAAAAC